GUAGACAUAGUUUAAUCUAAAACGUUAGAUUGUGAUUCUAAAGACAGAGGUUAAAAUCCUCUUGUCCACC
This 70-nucleotide transfer RNA is filed under the name Parupeneus barberinoides (bicolor goatfish). RNAcentral's name for it is "tRNA-His". It matches the Rfam family "tRNA". Rfam says of the family: Transfer RNA (tRNA) molecules are approximately 80 nucleotides in length. The record is from RNAcentral. Lineage: Eukaryota; Metazoa; Chordata; Actinopteri; Syngnathiformes; Mullidae.